Molecule: ribosomal RNA, 402 nt
Filed under: uncultured prokaryote
Description: bacterial SSU rRNA
Rfam family: Bacterial small subunit ribosomal RNA
Source: RNAcentral
UGGGGAAUAUUGCGCAAUGGGGGGAACCCUGACGCAGCAACGCCGCGUGAAGGAAGACGGUUUUCGGAUUGUAAACUUCUUUGACCGGGGACGAUAAUGACGGUACCCGGAAAACAAGCCACGGCUAACUACGUGCCAGCAGCCGCGGUAAUACGUAGGUGGCGAGCGUUGUCCGGAAUUACUGGGUGUAAAGGGUGAGUAGGCGGAAUGGCAAGUCAGAUGUGAAAUAUCGGGGCUUAACCCCGGGGCUGCAUUUGAAACUGCUGUUCUUGAGUGAUGGAGAGGCAGGCGGAAUUCCUAGUGUAGCGGUGAAAUGCGUAGAGAUUGGGAGGAACACCAGUGGCGAAGGCGACUUACUGGGCCGUAACUGACGCUGAUGCGCGAAAGCGUGGGGAGCGAACA